AGCAGCAGCCGCGGGAAUACGAAGGGUGCAAGCGUUACUCGGAAUUACUGGGCGUAAAGCGUGCGUAGGUGGUGGUUUAAGUCCGUUGUGAAAGCCCUGGGCUCAACCUGGGAAUUGCAGUGGACACUGGAUCACUAGAGUGUGGUAGAGGAUAGUGGAAUUUCCGGUGUAGCAGUGAAAUGCGUAGAGAUCGGAAGGAACAUCUGGGCGAAGGCGACUAUCUGGGCCAACACUGACACUGAGGCACGAAAGCGUGGGGAGCAAACAGGAUUAGAUACCCCCGUAGUCCCUGUCUCUUAUACA
RNAcentral lists this ribosomal RNA (303 nucleotides) under uncultured bacterium. Its description in RNAcentral is "partial 16S ribosomal RNA". It matches the Rfam family "Bacterial small subunit ribosomal RNA", at positions 507 to 808 of the family's 1533-position model. The record is from RNAcentral.